AUCCACCUGACGAGUUCGAAACAAAACGAAACACGUGUCUUGGUU
This 45-nucleotide non-coding RNA is filed under the name Schistosoma mattheei. Lineage: Eukaryota; Metazoa; Platyhelminthes; Trematoda; Strigeidida; Schistosomatidae. The record is from RNAcentral.